RNAcentral lists this ribosomal RNA (456 nucleotides) under Ehrlichia ruminantium (heartwater rickettsia). RNAcentral describes it as "bacterial SSU rRNA". It matches the Rfam family "Bacterial small subunit ribosomal RNA", at positions 210 to 684 of the family's 1533-position model. Lineage: Bacteria; Pseudomonadati; Pseudomonadota; Alphaproteobacteria; Rickettsiales; Anaplasmataceae. The record is from RNAcentral.
UCCGCUUUUACGUAUGAGCCCUACUGUUAGAUGAGCUAGUUGGUAAGGUAAUGGCUUACCAAGGCAAUGAUCUAUAGCUGGUCUGAGAGGGACGAUCAGCCACACUGGAACUGAGAUACGGUCCAGACUCCUACGGGAGGCAGCAGUGGGGAAUAUUGGACAAUGGGCGAAAGCCUGAUCCAGCUAUGCCGCGUGAGUGAAGAAGGCCUUCGGGUUGUAAAACUCUUUUAAUAGGGAAGAUAAUGACGGUACCUAUAGAAAAAGUCCCGGCAAACUCCGUGCCAGCAGCCGCGGUAAUACGGAGGGGGCAAGCGUUGUUCGGAAUUAUUGGGCGUAAAGGGCACGUAGGUGGACUAGUAAGUUAAAAGUGAAAUACCAAAGCUCAACUUUGGAGCUGCUUUUAAUACUGCUAGACUAGAGGUCGAGAGAGGAUAGCGGAAUUCAUAGUGGUAGAGA